UCCGGUUGAUCCUGCCGGACCUUACUGCUAUCGGGGUGGGACUAAAACAUGCUAGUCGAGCGCCUCCAAGCUAUGGUGAAGGCGCGGCGAACGGCUCAGUAACACGUGGCCAGCCUACCCUCAGGACGGAGACAACCCCGGGAAACUGGGGCUAAUCCCCGAUAGGUGAGGACGCCUGGAAUGACCCCUCACCCAAAGGACGUUGGAACCAUGCUUUUCAGCGUCGCCUAAGGAUGGAGCCGCGGCCGAUCAGGUUGUUGGUGGGGCAAAGGCUCACCAAGCCUAUAACCGGUACGGGCCAUGGGAGUGGGAGCCCGGAGAUGGGCACUGAGACAAGGGCCCAGGCCCUACGGGGCGCAGCAGUUGCGAAACCUCCACAAUGCACGAAAGUGUGAUGGGGCUAACCCGAGUGCCGUCCGCUGAGGAUGGCUUUUCUCCGCUGUAAGGAGGCGGAGGAAUAAGGAGAGGGCAAGACUGGUGUCAGCCGCCGCGGUAAUACCAGCUCUCCGAGUGGUAGGGACGAUUAUUGGGCUUAAAGCGUUCGUAGCCGGCCUGGCAAGUCUCUCGUCAAAUCCAGCGACCCAAUCGCUGGGCCGCGGGAGAUACUGUCAGGCUUGGGAGCGGGAGAGGCCGACGGUAUUCCCGGGGUAGGAGUGAAAUCCUGUAAUCCCGGGAGGACCACCAGUGGCGAAGGCUGUCGGCUAGAACGCGUCCGACGGUGAGGGACGAAAGCUGGGGGAGCGAACCGGAUUAGAUACCCGGGUAGUCCCAGCUGUAAACGAUGCGGGCUAGGUGUCGGUGUGGCUACGAGCCACUUCCGUGCCGCAGGGAAGCCUUAAGCCCGCCGCCUGGGAAGUACGUACGCAAGGCUGAAACUUGAAGGAAUUGGCGGGGGAGCACCACCAGGGGUGAAGCUUGCGGUUCAAUUGGAUUCAACGCCGGA
RNAcentral lists this ribosomal RNA (943 nucleotides) under uncultured archaeon. Its description in RNAcentral is "bacterial SSU rRNA". It matches the Rfam family "Archaeal small subunit ribosomal RNA", at positions 1 to 922 of the family's 1478-position model. The record is from RNAcentral.